Molecule: small RNA, 770 nt
Filed under: Pan troglodytes (chimpanzee)
Lineage: Eukaryota; Metazoa; Chordata; Mammalia; Primates; Hominidae
Description: retained intron
Source: RNAcentral
GUUAUACAAUGUUUAGGGGCAUCCCUGGCUUCUAGCCCUGAAAUGCCAGUAGCAGCUUCACCACCACAACCAAACAUGACAACCAGAAAUGUCUCUUAACAUUGCCAAAUGUCUCUUGAUGGGCAGGAUCCCUCCUUUGAGAGUCACUGUGCUCUAGUACAACAUCUAUCCAACAAAGGAGCUUGGAGAGGCAAAUGGCUCAAUGUGUCCUUUGCAUCCCUUGUUAAAUUUCAGAGCCUUCAGUGUUAGCUAGAACCAAUAGAAAAAUAAUGUGAACUUAUCUGUGGGUAUUGGUCUGGAUUUUGGGUAUGGACCCCUCAGAACUGGCAAUCAAAGACCACCAAAAAAUAAGAAAUAAAUGCCUCAACAUUUGAGUACCUCUUAAAAUUCUUCAGUCUUAAUAUAAAUGUACUUUUGCAUUAGAACGUUCGUUUUCAUAUUCUUUGCCAUUUAGAGCCCUUAAUAGAUCAUAUUCUGGUUUUCAAGUCUCUCCUGAAAGGAAAGGGACAUUUUAAACCCACUUAGAAGGACUAUUUGAAUUCUGAACUUCAAGCCUACAGGGAUUACAUUUUCUUACUGUUUGAUGGGAGAGAUCUCUUCUGGAGGUUCUUUAGAAGAUUGGGAUAUAGCUGUUCAGAAAACUGAAACCCGAUUAGCUCGUGUCAAUGAGCAGAGAAUGAAGGCUGCAGAGAAGGAAGCAGCCCUUGUGCAGCAAGAAGAAGAAAAGGCUGAACAACGGAAAAGAGCUCGGGCCGAGAAGAAAGCGUUAA